RNAcentral lists this transfer RNA (88 nucleotides) under Pyronema domesticum. RNAcentral's name for it is "tRNA-Ile". It matches the Rfam family "tRNA". From Rfam's summary of the family: Transfer RNA (tRNA) molecules are approximately 80 nucleotides in length. Their secondary structure includes four short double-helical elements and three loops (D, anti-codon, and T loops). Lineage: Eukaryota; Fungi; Ascomycota; Pezizomycetes; Pezizales; Pyronemataceae. The record is from RNAcentral.
GGUCGCUUAGCUCAGUUGGUUAGAGCGUGGUGCUAAUAAGCAUGUCUGGAUAACGCCAAGGUCGCAGGUUCGACCCCUGCAGUGAUCA